This 372-nucleotide ribosomal RNA is filed under the name uncultured bacterium. RNAcentral's name for it is "bacterial SSU rRNA". It matches the Rfam family "Bacterial small subunit ribosomal RNA", at positions 1 to 334 of the family's 1533-position model. The record is from RNAcentral.
CUAGCGACUUCAGAGUUUGAUCCUGGCUCAGGACAAACGCUGGCGGCGUGCAUAAAACAUGCAAGUCGAACGGAGGAUAAGUGUUCCACUAGUUAGCCAUAUAUUGGAUAAUUAGUGGAAUACUUACCCUUAGUGGCGGACGGGUGAGUAACGCGUGGGUAAUCUGGCUCUAUCUGGGGGACAACAGUUGGAAACGACUGCUAAUACCGCAUAAGACCACAGAUACGAAGGUAUCAGGGGUAAAAGAUUUUAUUGGAUAGAGAUGAGCCUGCGUUUCAUUAGCUAGUUGGUGGGGUAAAGGCCUACCAAGGCGACGAUGGAUAGCCGAUCUGAGAGGAUGACCGGCCACACUGGAACUGAGAUACGGUCCAG